AUGCACGCUGGCGGCGUGCCUAAUCCCUGCCAGUCGAGCGCACAGAUGAGGAGCUUGCUCCUCUGACGUUAGCGGCGGACGGGUGAGUAACACGUGGAUAACCUACCUAUAAGACUGGGAUAACUUCGGGAAACCGGAGCUAAUACCGGAUAAUAUAUUGAACCGCAUGGCUCAAUAGUGAAAGACGGUUUUGCUGUCACUUAUAGAUGGAUCCGCGCCGCAUUAGCUAGUUGGUAAGGUAACGGCUUACCAAGGCGACGAUGCGUAGCCGACCUGAGAGGGUGAUCGGCCACACUGGAACUGAGACACGGUCCAGACUCCUACGGGAGGCAGCAGUAGGGAAUCUUCCGCAAUGGGCGAAAGCCUGACGGAGCAACGCCGCGUGAGUGAUGAAGGUCUUCGGAUCGUAAAACUCUGUUAUUAGGGAAGAACAAAUGUGUAAGUAACUAUGCACGUCUUGACGGUACCUAAUCAGAAAGCCACGGCUAACUACGUG
RNAcentral lists this ribosomal RNA (496 nucleotides) under uncultured bacterium. Its description in RNAcentral is "partial 16S ribosomal RNA". It matches the Rfam family "Bacterial small subunit ribosomal RNA", at positions 29 to 507 of the family's 1533-position model. The record is from RNAcentral.